RNAcentral lists this ribosomal RNA (136 nucleotides) under Cyphellophora sessilis. Its description in RNAcentral is "partial large subunit ribosomal RNA". It matches the Rfam family "Eukaryotic large subunit ribosomal RNA", at positions 99 to 232 of the family's 3401-position model. The record is from RNAcentral. Lineage: Eukaryota; Fungi; Ascomycota; Eurotiomycetes; Chaetothyriales; Cyphellophoraceae.
CGGCAACAGCUCAAAUUUGAAAUCUGGCCUCUUUGGGGUCCGAGUUGUAAUUUGGAGAGGAUGUUUCGGGUACGGUCCGGGCUUAAAUUUCUUGGAACAGAAUGUCACAGAGGGUGAGAAUCCCGUCUGUGAUCUG